RNAcentral lists this ribosomal RNA (497 nucleotides) under uncultured bacterium. RNAcentral describes it as "partial 16S ribosomal RNA". It matches the Rfam family "Bacterial small subunit ribosomal RNA", at positions 28 to 507 of the family's 1533-position model. The record is from RNAcentral.
GAUGAACGCUGGCGGCGUGCCUAAUACAUGCAAGUCGAGCGAACGGACGAGAAGCUUGCUUCCCUGAUGUUAGCGGCGGACGGGUGAGUAACACGUGGAUAACCUACCUAUAAGACUGGGAUAACUUCGGGAAACCGGAGCUAAUAUCGGAUAAUAUUUUGAACCUCAUGGUUCAAGAGUGAAAGACGGUCUUGCUGUCACUUAUAGAUUGAUCCGGGCUGCAUUAGCUAGUUGGUAAGGUAACGGCUUACCAAGGCAACGAUGCAUAGCCGACCUGAGAGGGGGAUCGCCCCAAUGGGACUUGGACACCGGCCCAGACUCCUACGGGGGGCAGCAGGAGGGAUUCUUCCGCAAGGAGCGAAGGCCGGACGGAGAAAGGCCGCGUGAGUAAUGAAGGUCUUCGGAUCGUAAAACUCUGUUAUUAGGGAAGAACAUAUGUGUAAGUAACUGUGCACAGCUUGACGGUACCGAAUCAGAAAGCCACGGCUAACUACGUG